GUUGGUUAUGGAGACAUGCACCCUCAGACGGCACUUGGAAAGUUCGUGGGCUGUCUUUGUGCGGUCGCUGGUGUUUUGACUAUCGCUCUCCCUGUACCGGUCAUUGUUUCAAAU
Molecule: non-coding RNA, 114 nt
Organism: Schistocephalus solidus
Lineage: Eukaryota; Metazoa; Platyhelminthes; Cestoda; Diphyllobothriidea; Diphyllobothriidae
Source: Rfam